AUGCUUUUGUGGGCUGAGUGGGUUUGGGAAUUGCUUAGAUUUUCCAAAAAAAGAAUCUGAGGUUCCUUGUCAGAGAACCUUUGAAACAGCAUACCUUGCUGGGUGAGCCUUGGGAAAAGCUGAGGUAGAUGAGGUCUUCAGUAGGUGGUACAGUAAAUGGUAUCUUUCGGAACCUGAGGAGUUAUUAGUGGAAUUGGAGACUCAGGGUGAUUAAAAUCUAUAACGUGAUUAGGGCUCUAUGCAGUGACUUAAACUCAACUCUCACCCCCACUAUAAUGGGGCAGACUCUGGACCUUUUCUUCUGGCCUAGACUUCACCACCCAAGCAUGACUGACCAUUGAAUUGAUAAGUCGUGUUGAAUGUUCAAAGGUAGCGUCUCUCGACGAAAAGAAUCAAUAAACAAUCUAUGAUAAAAAUAGACAAGUUUUACUUAAGCCAAACUGAGGGGUCUAGGCCAGAGGAUAGCUUCUGAAAUAGUGCUGAGGAGCUACUCCAGAGAAGCAGGCUUUCCCACACAGUUUUGUGUCUUCUUAGAACGCAACAUCACACAAAUCAGUUACAUUCCUUGAGCUUUCAGAAAAACAAACCAGCAUGUCCACAGCAGGUCAGGGUGGCCUUGGCACCUGGGAAGGGAGUCUUAUCAUCAAAGGAGGACCAGUGUUGGUAUCCCAGGAAGGGGUACAUUUAUUCAAUAUGUGUUUUUAAUGUAGACAUUGCUUCUGCAAUGAUGUACAGUGUAUGCUGAGAGGACACAAAUAGGCUAAUUGUUCUAGUUGGCAGAAAACUCAAGUUAGCUCAUGCAUAAGCUAGAAUGGCUUCCCUGUACCUCACCAUGUGAACAUUUCUUUUAUCAAGUCCCUACAUGUGACAGCUCAGGGUAGAGUGACACAGGUACACUCUACAUGGUGGUGUUAGAAUUCAAGAUUGUCCAGGGUCCAGUGACCAAGACUUUCAUAACAGGCUACCCAGGACCCCAGCGGCUGUUAGCAAAACACAAAACCUUCAAAGUCAAGUGGGUCCAGACAGCCAACCACAGGAACGUGCAUGUCUCUCACAUCCAGCAUGGCCAAGUACAGCCAACGCCGAAAUUUGCCUGCACCCCCUAUCUGCUGGGCCUGAAGAAGAGGACAGGGAGGCCUCUGUGUUGGCAACCCGGAGGACAUGUGGGCAAGGGGUGGAUUAAGUACUGGAUGUUUGCUCCCCUGUUCCUUGCAUGCUGACUUUCCACACCCUCUGGUGGGGUCCUGACUCUGGUUCCCUGCUCCUACAGGGGCAUCUUCCUGGGGCCAGCUGGGCAUCAGUGGGAUCUGUGGUUCUGUAUCAGUCUUAAGUGGGGUCUGUUUCAGAGAUGCUCAUUCAUUCUCCAGCAAGCAUGACCUGAGACCUAGGGUCUGCCAGUCUUAUGGGGCAGAGGCUUUACAAGGACAUAUGUCAGCAGAGUGACUUUUGAGAUUUUCUUGGACAUGAUCUUGGGUGAGGUGCUUGUCUGGGUGAUCUCCUCAGGAGCUCUGGGAGUUUAAGACUUUUUGCCACUUUCCAAGUCCAGGAAAGAGAAGACAUUGUGCCCUAGUGUGUAGGAUUAAGGGGUCCAUACUCACCCUCCACGUACUGCUUUCCUUUUGCCUGACACCCUUUGGCCUUUGCCAUAGAAAGAGCUGCUAAGUGAGCGUAUGCUAAGCGCUGCUGUGUUUUGUUUUUUUUCAUUUUUUAAAAGUUUUAUUGAAGUAUAGUCGAUUUACAAGGUUGUGAUAAUUUUUGCUAUACAACAAAGUGAUCAGUUAUACAUGUACACACAUCCAUUCUCUUUCAGAUUCUCUUCCCACCCAGAUGGUCACAGAAUAUUGGGUAGAGUUGUCUGUGUUAAAAGCAGGUGUGUUUUUGGUGAUGGUCAAACUUCCCACCUUGUUUCAGAGAGUGGAACGUUAAAUUUGCCUCUUAUCUUUCUUUGCAGAAUAGUUUGUAUUCUACUCGGCUAUCCUUGAAGAAACUACUCCAUCAAUUAAUUUUUUAGAGACAGAAAAUAGUUAACAGAAGUAGAAAACUAAUGAUCAACAUUGUAUUAAAAAAAAAGAUUAGGAACCAAUGAUUGGUGAAGACAUGGUCUGUCUAGAGACAACACCAAUAUGACCAUUGGUCGUAAAAUUUGUAUGAAAAUGAGCACUUAAGCUCUUACCAUGGCUGGUUCUAGUGCAUCUGGGAGGUAUCUGACAAAUUUCAGUUUUUGGAGAAAAAGAUAAGCCCAGAUGCCCUGAUUCCACCACUUCAGAAAGCACUUGAUCCCCUGUGGGCUUCCUUUGUUUACAGCUGACUGCCAUGAAUCUCAGCAUAUCUUUAAGCACUGUUGCACUAAAGUGGCACUUACUUUAAUGAAUAUUUGAUAAAGAAAGAGUCCAGUGGAAGGAGUAAAUGUGUAUUAUACCUACCACAUCAAAUUUAUUUCAAAAAGGACACAUUUCCAACAAGUGCAUGCUGGGCUGGGCAGGGGGUGGGGGUUAUACAAACAGAUAGCUCUUAGCUUAUAUAGGAUGGAGGCACUAGUUGUAGAUGAGUUUCUACACAUGGUACAGCUGUUUUCAAGCUGUUUUUAGAUUAUUGGAAUAUUUCCGACAAGGUAAAAAAUACCAGUCCAAAGAGUUAUAUACAUAUUGAACUUAACACAUGCAGAGAGCUAAAAAUAAAACAAUACGUAAUGCUAGAGGAGUACUAUGAAAUCAUUUUCUGUAUUUUAAUACAAAUAUAUACAGAACAAAUUGUUUUUGCAUUUCGUUAGAUGCCUUCACUAAUGUAGUGUCAUAUGUAAAGAAGAGGAAUAUGGCUACUAAGACCACUUAAAAGAAAGAUAAGGACUAGUGCAACUUUUGGGGUAGUUACUCCAUUUACUUGUAGAUAGAUUUUUAGAGAAAACAAACAUGAUUUGUGAUAGCGCCAUCAUAAUUAUAAACCAAUUAUUGGCCCUUAUAUCUAGGAAGUUAUUAACUGCAAUUGAACAAAAGCUUGUUCCAAACCAGAGAGGCAUAAUGUACACUGUAUAAGGAUUCCUUUUUCAAGCAGAUUUUCACCCAGUAAAUAAAAUUGCUUUUUUUCAGAGAUGGCCAAUCUAAGCAACCCAAGAAACAGUAUUGCUCCUUCCUGAUCAGUUAGUUUAUCCCAGAUCCUUCUGGGCUACAGAGGCAGCGUCUGAUCUUUAUUUUUCCUUCCCUAUUAUUAUUGCAAGUAGUAUAUAUACUCUGGAUGACUGUCACUUGUUGCCAUGGUCUUUGUCACUACCACACUGGCCUGCAGUCUGUGUACAUGGUGCAUCAGGAAGCCCUAGGGGCUCACGGUGGGCAGAUGACCAGUAAAUCCCUUUGGAGUAAUACUUCUUUUUCUUUGGAUGUCAUCCCUGUCCCUGGACCCUGCCGGAUGGGCUUUCAGUCCAAGGUCUGUUGCAUUCCAGUUUGGGGACCCUCCUGGGCUUCUUUUGCUUUAUACGAAAAACAAAUGGUCUGGUACUUCCCCUUUCCACCCUGACAUGCUUUGACUUGACAUUCUAAGUAUAGCAACAAUCAGCUAAUCAAGACAUACUUAGAGGGUGAUAGCAGAGUAGCCUGAAUUCAAUAAGGCCACUUGCAGCCAGGACGUAGAAGAAAUCCAUGGGGUGUGUGUCUGUGUGUGUGUGUGUCUGUGCGCACAUGUGCAUGUGUUUCAUUUUUUUGGUCUUUUUUUUUUUUGAGGCUGUCAGUGACCUCUCUCUUUUUUUUUUUUUAAAUUGCAGUUCUCUGUGCUAUACAGUAGGGCCCCAUUGCCAUCCAUCCCCAAGCCCCUGUCCAUCAUCCAUCCCACUCCCUCCCCCUUUCCCCCUGUCAUCCACAAGUCUGCUUUCCUUGGCCAUGAUCUGUUUCCUUUCUCUUUUGGGGUUUUUUUUUGGGGGGGGCACACCCACGGCAUAUGGAGGUUCCCAUGCUAGGGGUCGUAUCAGAGCUUAUAGCUGCCCAACACAGCCACAGCCACGCCAGACCCGAGCUGUGUCUGUGACCUAAACUACAGCUCAGGGCAAUGCCAGAUCCUUAACCCACUGAGCAAGGCCAGGGAUCAAACCUAGCUCCUCAUGGAUACUAGUCAGGUUUGUUAACCACUGAGCCACAACAGGAACUCCUUAUUACCUUUCUUAUGUCUGAUGCAUUGAACUCAAUCAUCUGCAGUUUCUCUUUUCAGAUGACAUACAUUUUCUUUAAUUAGUGUAAGAUGAAUUUAAUCACCCUUUGAGCCUAUUUCUCCUGAUAUUUUCACAACCCCUUUGAAUAACAGAAGUCACCAUGGUGUAUUAAAAGCACUGGGUCCUUGGUUUCAUUUUAAUGUACUGGGACCACUAGGUCACACUGGUUUUCUUUAGGAUGUAGAUCUCACCCUUCUAGAAACAAAAUGCUUCCUGCAGUUUUGGGGUAGAAGCUUCCUUUCUCUGCUUUUUCACUAAAUGGGAUGCCUUCUAGUAAAACUGAAGGACAAUACAUCCAUUUUCCUUGACAGUUUGCCCUUUGUAAAUUUUGGAGUUGAAACUAGUAUCUAAUUACUUUUUUUUCCCCCAAAUCCAGCAUCAACAUUAACAAUCAUUUAUUAUUUAUGUGGAAAUUUAUAUAGUUGCAAACUACUUAUAAUACUUAAGAGCAUACAACGUCUGUGGGAGACAGCUCAAUACUGUAUUCGAUGACCUUAUAAUUUUCUGACAAGGAAUUUGAGGCUCAAAAAGUCACUGGCUCCCAUCCACACACUUUGGGUUGCAGAACCAAGAUCCCAGGCAUUAUUGUUCAACCUCUCUCUUCAUUGUAGGUCACUGAUUCUUAUUAUUUUUCUUGACCUUCCAACUGCAUUGUCCUGCUACCAUGUAAAGGAUGAAAGAAAAUCUAUGCUGAUGUUUAUUUGUUAUCCUACUAAACUCUAGGAUGUUGACUAGGGUCUUUUCCUGAUGAAUCGUAGUUAGUGACCUGCCUUUCUGGUGAUUUUUCUUGACAUCAUUUUCAUAUGGUCAUUCUUCUUCAGCACCUGAUCACAGAGACACUGUAUUUGUAGAGUUUCUGGAGUUCUAUCCAAAACUUUAAAUGUAUCUAGAAUCCAAAUCCCCAGAUUGGAAAUCAUCAAGAAGAUCCUUUUUUUAUCCUGCAGCUGCGUGUUCACUGGCACACUGACCACGAGGCUGUGCCCUGUGAAACAACCAUCUCCAGACAGGACCAGCCAAACCUUCUCUUGGAAUGGCUUGCUUCUUAUUAAAUCACUUUACUUUUGAAAAAUUGUUUUCUCUUUUAUUUUUAUUUUAGGACAUAGACUUUGGAGGAAAAGGUUUUUAGCCAGGUUGGCAGUGUUGGAUUUCUUAUGUUGACAUGGAAGGAAUAAGGCAGGCUCCUGAUCGCCAUAUUCAGUCCAGAAGAUGCUACACCUACAUGGAAACCUACAUGUCUCUUUUAAAUCCCUGGUGAAUAAAUAAGUGCAUGUGCAGCACCUUUAUCCCUAUGAAGGGCUCUGGUUCGGGGCCAGUAAAGAAGUGAUAUUAUUCUUGGAUGGAGUGUACUUAAAGACAUUUGGAAAAUUAGACUUCGUCAAUCUUAGGAUUUUUUUAAAUUGAAAUUUAGUUGAUUCAUAAUACUCUAUUAGUUUUAGGUGUACAGCAUAGUUUCGAAAUUUUUAUAGAUUAUAGUUCAUCUGAAGUUAUUAUUAAAUAUAGGCUAUAUUCCCUGUCCUAUCCAAUAUAUCCUUGGAGCUUAUUUAUUUUAUAUUUUGUAGUUUGCAUCUCUUAAUGCCCUUUCCCUGUCUUGCCCUUCUCCCUUUCCUCUUCUGCACUGGUAACCACUGCUUUGUUCUCUGUAUCUGUGAAUGUGUUUCUGUUUUCUGAUAUUAAUGCUUAUAUUCAUUUUUUCUUUUAUUUUUAGAUUCCACAUAUAAGUUAAAGCAUAGGGUAUUGUCUUUGUCUGACCUAUUUCACUAAGAAUAGUGCCCAGGAGUUCCCAUCGUGGCUCAGUGGUUAAUGAAUCCAACUAGGAACCAUGAGAUUGUGGGUUCGAUUGAUCCCUGACCUCACAGCGUUGCCGUGAGCUGUGGUGUAGGUUGCAGACACGGCUCAGAUCUUGAGUUACUGUGGCUCUGGCAUAGGCUGACAGCUACAGCUCUAAUUAGACCCCUAGCCUGGGAACCUCCAUAUGCUGUGGAAGCGGCCCUAGAAA
RNAcentral lists this long non-coding RNA (6191 nucleotides) under Sus scrofa (pig). RNAcentral describes it as "lncRNA (ENSSSCG00000057326.1)". The record is from RNAcentral. Lineage: Eukaryota; Metazoa; Chordata; Mammalia; Artiodactyla; Suidae.